UUCAAUGUAAGACAGCCACAAGACUAUAUGCAACAACUUUCAAUCAGUUUCAAUACAUGUAUGCAAGCAGAUUCAAUCAAUCACAACAAGCAUCACUAUGAACUGGAGUUAAGCAUAUUAAACAAUCUCAAUCACCAAACAAAGCUCUUUAAGCAUCCUGGGACAGAUUCUAACAUUCAUUUAGCAUCCUUUAAACAAUCCUCAGGUUUUCAAUCACACCACAACACAACAACCAGAUUUUAUCACAAGCUCAUUAUCACUUAAGGUUUAAAGAAUCACUUACUACUAAGGAACCAGGUUGGUCCUUGUAUCACCCUCGGAUUGAAAGCUCAUGACUUUGAGGGUAUGAGAGUCUGGAUCGUUACCCAUCUCCUUCUCCUUCAGUUCAUGACUUCCUCCUUGUUUCUCAUACUCACAAAACCCCUCCUUUCUUCAAGCCCUCUACUCGCCAUCUUCUGGAUAGCUUUCUCUUCACACCGGAUGAGGAACAGCCUUUGGACAAGGCGCCAUGGACAAGGUUCGCGAGGCCUCUCCACCCAACAGGCUGGUUUAUCUUGAUCUCCUUGUCUUGAUCCAAGACCCACGAUUUUGGCUAUCUCCUGGAGCCUCUCCUCUUGUGCUCUCAGCCUUGAUCUGGUUACUGGUCCACUAACACGCCAUGCUUCAGUCUUCUUCUUCUUGAAGUAACCAGAACCGCAAGUACAUGUCUUCAAGGCUUUGAUUUGAGCUGAGGUGAGAGCAAGUGAUUUGCGGAAGCUACAGCUCAGGUUCUGAUGAACCUGGCUCUGAUACCAUGUGAGAUUUAUAGAGUUCUCUUCUCUGGUUGUGUUUGUGUGUGUAUAAACUCCAAUGGAGAAAGAUUAGAGCUUGCUCUAGGUGAUUUAGAAAGAGAUUGAUAAGAGUGUUUAUGAGAGAAUAAGAGACUUAGAACCAGAGAUUAAGAGACUGAAAGAUUAAGAGAAUAAGUGUUUAGAGAUUAGAGUUUCAGAUUCAAGAACUAGUUUUCAUUUCCAUGAAGUGGAGAGGGUAAAUCCCCCUUACUCCCUUAACCUUUACAAAUCGCCAACCUUAGGCUUAUAUAUGCCUUUACAAGAGCAAAUCAUAAACCUAAAUCUAAUGGCUGAUAAUACUUGAAGUUUAAAUGGAUGGUGUAGAUGAGCUGGUCUUGUUUGUCAUGAGGAGAAGGUGAUCUGAUUGGAAAGAAGAGGCUGGCGCCUCAUUGGCUCAUUCAAACUAGGCUGGCUCUUGAUUGGUUCUUCUUUGGCUCCUUUGUAUCAAGCUUGGAAUCAGUCUAGGUUCAUAGUCAAGGCUGCCUUUACUUUACAGCCAAGGCCAGCCUGUCUUGAACCUUAUCCACGUCCAAAGCUCCUCCAAGGGAUCUCCACUUGAUUCCCUUUUGAUGCCAUCUGAUCAGAACCUUAUCCAUUCGCCCAACACCUUUUCUUUAUGUCCCAAGCUUUGCACAACACCAUCAGGAGGUGUACGGACCAUUCCAUAUCCGUACCCUUGCGCCCUAACUUUGCACAAAGCUUAAAACACCCAAAUGGUCGAGUCUGCACUUCUAGGGUAGUCCACCGUCCGUACUGAUCCGUACAUGGCCGUACAGCCUCGCCCUAUCUUUGCACACUCGCCCAUUUGCUUCUCAACACUCUUCUAAGUCUCUCCUAGACUUUACCCUUACUUUAGAACAUCCAUCAGAUCACUUCUCUACACCUUCAGAUACUUCAUAACUCUUGAUAGGCAUUCUCCAUAGCUCUUGCCCUAUCUUUGUACAAGCCACAUCUCAACUCCACACCUUUGCCUUCUCCAUUUCUUUUCUUCAAGUUAACACUCCCCCUCAAGCUUGACUUUAGCUGAUCCUAAGUCAAGCUUGGAACCUUGAAGAACUUCCUCAUUAAAAACCUAACCAAGGAAAACCCUUUGGGACAAAACCUUGAUGAGGAAAAAAGAGUAAAGCCUCCAAGGCCUAGGGAUUGGCCAGUGAGUCAUUGUGCCUUACCGACAAUGUAAGGGACACAAAGACUCUGGAUCAUGGCCCUCAUAUGAUGCAAGAUAGAACCCACUCCUCUUGCUCAUCAUCAACACUUCUUGUACUCUUCUUCAGAUAGAUCUUGGUCUCUCCCCCUUUCUCACAACCUUCUUGUUGUGUAUCAAGUGCUCGGACUACCAGAUCUUCUUUGAUAGAUACAAGCUGAGUCUUGGCUGCUUCUUCUUCAUGAGUCACCACCAUGUUACUGAAACCUUCAUGACAGGAUGCUUCAGACUGUAGUACCAAUCACCUCACUCUAGAGGCCGCAUUGGUGAUUGCUUCUUCAUCCUUCAUUACCCUUCAUAACUGAUCUGCUCCUCUUCUUGAAUAACCACCAAGUACUCUCAGAUCAUGUAAGCUUCAACACUCCCCCUCAAGCUUGAGACUCUUACAGGAACAAGCUUGGAUGGAUAGCUUCAUAAUCUGUACCAUUACUCCAUUGCAACACCUUCUGAACUCGCCAUCUUCAUGGAGUGCUUGUGGAAGCUUCAGCUACCUCUUCAGCCACCUCACUUUAGAAGCCGCACUGAUAGAGUCUUCAUCUUCUCACAGCCAAGAGUGCUCUGAACACUCUCUUGCCUAGACACGCCACUGCCUAGACCCUGAUGGCUCCUUCUUUUUCAGUUGCUUGCAAUGGACCUCCUGAACCUUCUUGGUCCGACUGAUAGCUCACUAAACUCCCCUCCUCAAGCUUGGAUUGAGUAUAGGUCCAAGCUUGCAAGUGAGCUUCAGUGAGACUACACACCAGUGGCGCAUCACCACUCUUGUAUCAACUCUCCAUUGCACACACAAUGGGCAAACGUCUCCUACUUUCAACUCUGAUGGAUGGUGAACCAAGAACACAUCUUGUGAACCUGAAACAUCACUCAAACUCCAGCAAAGAUGAGACACAAUAGUAUUGAGAUCAUUCCUUGAUAAAUCAUCAAGUUUGAUUCCCAAUAUCACAAGCAAUGCAACAGAUUAAACAAGACAGUAUCAAGUUCUAAUCUUUGCAAGCAAACUCUCUAAGCACAAGCACUUUCUUUUCCAGAUUUAUGCAAGCUACUUAGGCAUUUUUAAGGCUUCUUUACUCAGCAAUUUAGACAUGAAUCUAAUGCUUCAAUGUAAGACAGCCACAAGACUAUAUGCAACAACUUUCAAUCAGUUUCAAUACAUGUAUGCAAGCAGAUUCAAUCAAUCACAACAAGCAUCACUAUGAACUGGAGUUAAGCAUAUUAAACAAUCUCAAUCACCAAACAAAGCUCUUUAAGCAUCCUGGGACAGAUUCUAACAUUCAUUUAGCAAUCUUUAAACAAUCCUCAGGUUUUCAAACACAUCACAACACAACAACCAGAUUUUAUCACAAGCUCAUUAUCACUUAAGGUUUAAAGAAUCGCUUACUACCAAGGAACCAGGUUGGUCCUUGUAUCAUCCUCGGAUUGAAAGCUCAUGACUUUGAGGGUAUGAGAGACUGGAUCGUUACCCAUCUCCUUCUCCUUCAGUUCAUGACUUCCUCCUUGUUUCUCAUACUCACAAAACCCCUCCUUUCUUCAAGCCCUCUACUCGCCAUCUUCUGGAUAGCUUUCUCUUCACACCGGAUGAGGAACAGCCUUUGGACAAGGCGCCAUGGACAAGGUUCGCGAGGCCUCUCCACACACCUUUGCUUCCAACAAGAGUCUUCAUCAGGUACAGGUCGGAAUGGCUGAGAGAUAUGGAGUAACACGCCAUGCUUCAGUCUUCUUCUUCUUGAAGUAACCAGAACCGCAAGUACAUGUCUUCAAGGCUUUGAUUUGAGCUGAGGUGAGAGCAAGUGAUUUGCGGAAGCUACAGCUCAGGUUCUGAUGAUCCUGGCUCUGAUACCAUGUGAGAUUUAUAGAGUUCUCUUCUCUGGUUGUGUUUGUGUGUGUAUAAACUCCAAUGGAGAAAGAUUAGAGCUUGCUCUAGGUGAUUUAGAAAGAGAUUGAUAAGAGUGUUUAUGAGAGAAUAAGAGACUUAGAACCAGAGAUUAAGAGACUGAGAGAUUAAGAGAAUAAGUGUUUAGAGAUUAGAGUUUCAGAUUCAAGAACUAGUUUUCAUUUCCAUGAAGUGGAGAGGGGAAAUCCCCCUUACUCCCUUAACCUUUACAAAUCGCCAACCUUAGGCUUAUAUAUGCCUUUACAAGAGCAAAUCAUAAACCUAAAUCUAAUGGCUGAUAAUACUUGAAGUUUAAAUGGAUGGUGUAGAUGAGCUGGUCUUGUUUGUCAUGAGGAGAAGGUGAUCAGAUUGGAAAGAAGAGGCUGGCGCCUCAUUGGCUCAUUCAAACUAGGCUGGCUCUUGAUUGGUUCUUCUUUGGCUCCUUUGUAUCAAGCUUGGAAUCAGUCUAGGUUCAUAGUCAAGGCUGCCUUUACUUUACAGCCAAG
RNAcentral lists this long non-coding RNA (4407 nucleotides) under Brassica napus (rape). RNAcentral describes it as "long non-coding RNA (BNAP_LNC013427)". The record is from RNAcentral. Lineage: Eukaryota; Viridiplantae; Streptophyta; Magnoliopsida; Brassicales; Brassicaceae.